AUCUGAAAGGAUGGAGUGCCUUCGGGAGCGUGGAGACAGGUGGUGCAUGGUUGUCGUCAGCUCGUGUCGUGAGAUGUUGGGUUAAGUCCGCAACGAGCGCAACCCUCGACCUUAGUUGCCAGCAUUCAGUUGGGCACUCUAAGGUGACUGCCGGCUAAAAGUCGGAGGAAGGUGGGGAUGACGUCAAAUCAUCAUGCCCCUUAUGACCUGGGCUACACACGUGCUACAAUGGGCGGUACAAAGGGUCGCGAACCCGCGAGGGGGAGCCAAUCCCAAAAAGCCGCUCUCAGUUCGGAUUGCAGGCUGCAACUCGCCUGCAUGAAGCCGGAAUCGCUAGUAAUCGCGGAUCAGCAUGCCGCGGUGAAUACGUUCCCGGGCCUU
Molecule: ribosomal RNA, 381 nt
Filed under: uncultured Anoxybacillus sp.
Lineage: Bacteria; Bacillati; Bacillota; Bacilli; Caryophanales; Anoxybacillaceae
Description: bacterial SSU rRNA
Rfam family: Bacterial small subunit ribosomal RNA
Source: RNAcentral